UCCUGUGUUGCAUGCCUAACGUGACGGAAAUUGGCCCCGGAUGAGUCCUAAUUUUUGCCUCUCACCAAUUCGUGGUGUUAGGUUGAUGUGGAAGUACUGCCCAUUCUCCUUGAAUGCUUCGCCCUUUCGCGUUGCAAUCAUGGCCCAUGGGUUGCUACUAGUUCCCUCGGAUGCAGAACCUUUGAUGGGUGCACAGUUUGUCGCUGUUGUUUACCCACAAAGCGUUCAUCGGUCGAUGCGUACGACUGCUGUGCCCGUCUUGGUCCCCUUGGAUGGGUCUCAUGCGGUGCCAGCGUCGCGAAGGAAUGCUACCUGGUUGAUCCUGCCAGUAGUCAUAUGCUUGUCUC
Molecule: unclassified non-coding RNA, 347 nt
Filed under: Planchonella baillonii
Lineage: Eukaryota; Viridiplantae; Streptophyta; Magnoliopsida; Ericales; Sapotaceae
Description: partial contains external transcribed spacer and 18S ribosomal RNA
Source: RNAcentral